CAACUAAUCGUGUGUUGUCGAGGUUGAUGUCACUUCUGUUUGGAAACAUUUACACGGCUGUAUAUAACAGAUUUUGGUGCGGUGAAGCUUAAUUAUUUGUCUUGAAAUUCCUCACGAUAUUUGGAUAAAGAUGAUGAUUCUACUAACGUUAUUGAUAACACUUAUAUUGACCGACAUUAAUCUAGUCAUAGGACAGGCUCAGGGAAUGACUGGUACUGACUCUUCAACAAGGGCAGUUGUAAGUUGCAGUGGACAACGUGUUUUCAAGAAGGUUGACAUCACUCCUGAAUCAUCCUUGGAACAACUUUACUCUGUUAAUACCAGUGAUGUGUAUAGAUGCUGUGAAUAUUGUUUAGUUGAAACAAGUUGCUUGUCGAUUGAGUUUGAAUUGGUUACUAAAACAUGCCAUCUUUACGCUGAAAGAGUCGUCCACAUAGGCUCUGAGGCCCCGUCAACUGAUACGACAGUGGUUUAUUACUGGAAAACUGAAGAUAAAUGUGACACCAGUCUAGGAUAUGAAAGUAUAAGUGACGUCAGUUCCUGUAUUAAGUUGCACACUAACCUAUCAACAUGGGACGAAGCAC
This is a long non-coding RNA of Patella vulgata (common limpet), 584 nucleotides long. RefSeq lists it as uncharacterized. Lineage: Eukaryota; Metazoa; Mollusca; Gastropoda; Patellidae. The record is from RefSeq and is a predicted model, not a curated record. The transcript is spliced from 3 exons.